RNAcentral lists this long non-coding RNA (685 nucleotides) under Prunus persica (peach). RNAcentral describes it as "long non-coding RNA (PPER_LNC007092)". The record is from RNAcentral. Lineage: Eukaryota; Viridiplantae; Streptophyta; Magnoliopsida; Rosales; Rosaceae.
UGGGAGCACCAAAACUUAAGCCCAUUUAUUGGGCCCAAAUACAUGGGUUAGCAUGAGAGAGAGGAGAAAAUGAUCCAAUCCUUCAGGAGGAUACCUUGUAGCCCACUAUAACACUUCGGCAAAACACAAUCAAUAGAAUGCCCAAAAUUAGUAAAGCCAUUUCCAGCAACUUGACGAAAACCCAUCAAGCGCUGGAAAUAAUAGGCUAAUGACCCAAUGACGUGCAUACAAGCCCAGCCCAACAACUUAUAAAAACCGAGCACCGAGUUCCACCCCUGUUAGAACUCCAAGGACGGCCAACUAAGGAGCCAUGGCAGAGACCGAAGGAAAUCUAUGAAGGUAGGAAGAAUACCUAUCGGACAAGAAGCUCUACCCAUCUUUGUUUCCAUAUUACAAGCUUCAUUUUGAAAACCAAGAGGGAAAAGCAGGUGGCGCCUCACCCUCAUGGGGAGGUCCAGCUGCGUCAAAUCCUUGGAACCACAAAGGGUUUCUUACCCAUGCACCUUGGAUAGGAGAGUUUCACCAAAAUAGGAUUGAGUGGGGAGGAGCAAAAGGAAAAGGAAGAAGAAGACUAGAUGAAAUUAGGGUUCUUCGAGCCUAUAAAAAGGAAUUUCUUCUACCCAACAAAAUCAUCAUUCACAGCCUGACCAAGCUUUGUCAAGCAAGCUAAGAAUUUGCUCAAGCC